This 70-nucleotide transfer RNA is filed under the name Adrisa magna. RNAcentral's name for it is "tRNA-Met". The record is from RNAcentral. Lineage: Eukaryota; Metazoa; Arthropoda; Insecta; Hemiptera; Cydnidae.
AGAAAGGUAAGCUAAAUUAAGCUACUAGGUUCAUACCCUACUCAUAGAAGUUGUAAUCUUCUCCUUCCUA